This 120-nucleotide small nuclear RNA is filed under the name Bemisia tabaci. RNAcentral describes it as "U2 spliceosomal RNA". It matches the Rfam family "U2 spliceosomal RNA". From Rfam's summary of the family: U2 is a small nuclear RNA (snRNA) component of the spliceosome (involved in pre-mRNA splicing). Lineage: Eukaryota; Metazoa; Arthropoda; Insecta; Hemiptera; Aleyrodidae. The record is from RNAcentral.
AUCGCUUCUCGGCCUCAAUGGCUAAGAUCAAAGUGAAAUAUCUGUUUUUAUCAGCUUAAUAAGUUCUUAAGUUCGUUUGCUGAACGAAAUUCUCAACACGUUAUUAAUCAUCUACCUAUU